GCAAUGGCGCAGCUACCAUGCAGUCGAGCGGAACGAGUUAUCUGAACCUUCGGGGAAUGUGAACGGCGUCGAGCGGCGGACGGGUGAGUAAUGCCUGGGAAAUUGCCCUGAUGUGGGGGAUAACCAUUGGAAACGAUGGCUAAUACCGCAUAAUAGCUUCGGCUCAAAGAGGGGGACCUUCGGGCCUCUCGCGUCAGGAUAUGCCCAGGUGGGAUUAGCUAGUUGGUGAGGUAAGGGCUCACCAAGGCAACGAUCCCUAGCUGGUCUGAGAGGAUGAUCAGCCACACUGGAACUGAGACACGGUCCAGACUCCUACGGGAGGCAGCAGUGGGGAAUAUUGCACAAUGGGCGCAAGCCUGAUGCAGCCAUGCCGCGUGUAUGAAGAAGGCCUUCGGGUUGUAAAGUACUUUCAGCAGUGAGGAAGGUUCAUACGUUAAUAGCGUAUGGAUUUGACGUUAGCUGCAGAAGAAGCACCGGCUAACUCCGUGCCAGCAGCCGCGGUAAUACGGAGGGUGCGAGCGUUAAUCGGAAUUACUGGGCGUAAAGCGCAUGCAGGUGGUUUGUUAAGUCAGAUGUGAAAGCCCGGGGCUCAACCUCGGAAUUGCAUUUGAAACUGGCAGACUAGAGUACUGUAGAGGGGGGUAGAAUUUCAGGUGUAGCGGUGAAAUGCGUAGAGAUCUGAAGGAAUACCGGUGGCGAAGGCGGCCCCCUGGACAGAUACUGACACUCAGAUGCGAAAGCGUGGGGAGCAAACAGGAUUAGAUACCCUGGUAGUCCACGCCGUAAACGAUGUCUACUUGGAGGUUGUGGCCUUGAGCCGUGGCUUUCGGAGCUAACGCGUUAAGUAGACCGCCUGGGGAGUACGGUCGCAAGAUUAAAACUCAAAUGAAUUGACGGGGGCCCGCACAAGCGGUGGAGCAUGUGGUUUAAUUCGAUGCAACGCGAAGAACCUUACCUACUCUUGACAUCCAGAGAACUUUCCAGAGAUGGAUUGGUGCCUUCGGGAACUCUGAGACAGUGCUGCAUGGCUGUCGUCAGCUCGUGUUGUGAAAUGUUGGGUUAGUCCCGCACGAGCGCACCCUUAUCCUUUGUUUGCCAGCACUUCAGGUG
This 1110-nucleotide ribosomal RNA is filed under the name Vibrio xuii. RNAcentral describes it as "bacterial SSU rRNA". It matches the Rfam family "Bacterial small subunit ribosomal RNA", at positions 39 to 1133 of the family's 1533-position model. Lineage: Bacteria; Pseudomonadati; Pseudomonadota; Gammaproteobacteria; Vibrionales; Vibrionaceae. The record is from RNAcentral.